Molecule: long non-coding RNA, 241 nt
Filed under: Marmota monax (woodchuck)
Lineage: Eukaryota; Metazoa; Chordata; Mammalia; Rodentia; Sciuridae
Source: RNAcentral
GCCAAUCUCGCUGCCUGUGAGACCCGCCCAAAGCUGAUGAGGUAGAUUCUCCAAGACGGCCACCGCCCUUUUCUGCGCCAGGGUGUCUGGUGCGGAGGAGGGAACUGGGCUGUUUCUCCACUAAGUCCAAACUUCAGUCCUCGGUCUGGUGCCCUGUGGAGAUGCAGGUGGCAGUCUGGUGCACUCUAUCUCCACAGGAUCUGAAACUCUGCUUCUCUAUGCUGUCAGAACUCCACAGCGC